AAUAAAAUAUUUGUUCUAAAAUAAAAAAAUUGUAGAGUAAAAGCAUGUAGAAUGUGGAAUAAAUUAAAUAAAUGAAUAAAUAAAAAUGUAGAUUUGUCUAUGGUUCCACAUAUAUGUAUAUAUAUUAAGCUUUUUGUUGUUUUAUAAAAUAUCUUUGCAUCUAUUUAAAAUGAGUAUAUGUAAAUAUAUAUGCACGGCGCUUCUUAUAUUUAUUUUCUCUAAAAAAAUGUUUGUUCUUAUGUCUCUAAACUGAAAUUGUUGAAAAGAAAUUAGCCAAGAGGAUAAAAUUAAGUGCAGUAAUAAAAGUGAAAAAUAAAAAAAACAAAAAAAGGGAUAUAUAUAUAGAUACAUAUAUGAAAAGUAAAAAUAGUAUGCGCAUGGAGUAGUAAAAAAUGACAAGCUGCGUUUUUAAAAACACGAAAAAAAAAGAGUAUAGAGAAUUAAAGAAGCGCAUGAAAAUAAAAAUUAAGGACAUCUUAUAUAGUAAUAAACAAAAUAAACGAAUUUGGUUACAUGGUAAUUACUCUAAUUAUUUUUAUGAGCGAUAUAAAAAAAAAAAAAUAACAUAUAAACAGGAAAAUAGCGGACGAAGUAAUACUAAUGUCAAAAGUAAUGUCAACAGUAAUGUCAACAGUAAUGUCAACAGUAAUGUCAAUAGCAGUGAUAAUGACGAAGAAAACGAAACUAAAGAAACAAACGAAAUGAAUAAAACAAAUAUGCACAUAAUUGAUAUAAAAAACACGAAUGAAAUAAAAAUGAUUGAAGAUUACAGAUUAGCACAUGUUAAUAAUUUAAUAAAUAAUAUUUUUAAAAACAAAAUUAUAUUAGAUAUAGGUUGUAAUUGCGGUAUAACAACUUUUUUAUUAAGUUUAAAAUAUAAUUGUAAGAUUGUUAAUGGUAUGGAUAUAGACGAUUCUAUAAUUGACAAGAAUCUUGGGGUGUUAAGAUUAUUUAUUCAAUUUGUUGUAAUUUAUAAUAAACAAAAACAUAUGAUACCUUUUUUAUUAAAUCAAGCAAAAUUGAUACAAAUACAGAGGGACAUAUAUAUGGAUCUAUAUUUUUUAUAUGAACAGUUAAUGUUACAACAUUCAGGUGUAAUUGAUAAUAAACAUAAUAAUUAUGAUGUAAAAAAGGAAAAAGGUUGUUACAUAGUUAGUGAUGAUCUUAGCAGGGGUAAUAUUACUUACAACCUAACUAACAAUAACCAUAACAAAGGAACUAGUAUUGACCACACACAUAACAAUAACAAUAACA
This 1254-nucleotide long non-coding RNA is filed under the name Piliocolobus tephrosceles (Ugandan red Colobus). RNAcentral's name for it is "lncRNA (ENSPTEG00000017747.1)". Lineage: Eukaryota; Metazoa; Chordata; Mammalia; Primates; Cercopithecidae. The record is from RNAcentral.